GUCUAUGGCCAUACCACUCUGAGCGUGCCUGAUUUCAUCUGAUCUUGGAAGCUAAGCAGGUUGGGCCUGGUUAAUGUAGUACUUGGAUGGGAGACUUGGGUU
RNAcentral lists this ribosomal RNA (102 nucleotides) under Propithecus coquereli (Coquerel's sifaka). Lineage: Eukaryota; Metazoa; Chordata; Mammalia; Primates; Indriidae. The record is from RNAcentral.